GUCUACGGCCAUGCCAUCCUGAACAAGCCCAAUCCCGUCUGAUCUCGGAAGCUAAGCAGGGUUGGGCCUGGUUAGUACUUGGAUGGGAGACCACCUAGGAAGACCAGGUGCUGUGUAGG
This 119-nucleotide ribosomal RNA is filed under the name Pteropus alecto (black flying fox). Lineage: Eukaryota; Metazoa; Chordata; Mammalia; Chiroptera; Pteropodidae. The record is from RNAcentral.